Molecule: long non-coding RNA, 1842 nt
Organism: Saccostrea cuccullata (small rock oyster)
Lineage: Eukaryota; Metazoa; Mollusca; Bivalvia; Ostreida; Ostreidae
Exons: 5
Source: RefSeq, a predicted model, not a curated record
AAAGUUAUUUGCAUUUCAAUAAAAAAUAUAAUGAAAAUACAUUGAUAUAGAUAGUUGCUUUGAUUUGAUACAGUUGUUGGACAAUUGGUAGUAUUAUCUGCCCUGUGCUAUCCUGUUGCCACCUUUUCCAAAUUACAGUGUAUUGAAAGAGCCACAGAUUUUUACAAAGUUAUUACUGACACCACAACAUGUUUAUCCAGCUUUGAAAAAAGCCUAUCUUUAAGAAAUAUCACAGAAUGUUCCAAAGACUGUGUUGUAAAAGAAACAUCGAGGGAGGAUAACUAUAUGAGAAUACACAUCAAAUACGACACUGAUAUCAUUUUAAAGCUAGAAAGCAAGAAAAAUCCUGACUGCGGAUACAGUUCUAAAAACAUGUAUAUCGAAUGCACCAUAAAUAAAAGAAAACAGGAAUGGUUAGAAACAUGUAUAACUGGUAAAUGUAUCAACAGUCUGAACAAAAGAACCAUUAAUUCAAAGCAAGUAAAUGAUGCCGAUCGUCCCUUAUCAGACCCACUCUUCUUUUCUGCUGUGAUUUCAGGAUCUAUUAUUCUCAGUGCCGUCAUUACAGGAAUGGGGUGCUUACUGUUCAUGACAAGAAAAAGAAAGACAUGUAUCUCUAAAUAAUGUUCUCCAAUAUUAUGCAUUAUAUGAUGAUCAUGGAUCAAUCAACCAUCUUUGAUUCAAAUUCAAUCAAAGUCCAGUGUGUAGCAUUGAGCAUGUGGCCUAUAUUGUAUCUUGGGAGAGUUUUUCUACAAAGGUUAAAUAAAUGCGAUUCUCUUUUGAGAUAGAAUUUUUUAGUAUGAAAGGACGGCAUUUUUUUUAUUUUUUUCAGCUGUAUUAGUCAAAGUAUCUUAACAACAUUCUUGACAUUUUCUUUCCUAGAAAUACUGUAUUUUCAAUACAUUAUCUUGGUAUUUUUUUUACAAAUAGUUUUUUUUUUAGUUUUCUAAAAAUACAAUUUCUUGAAAUCUUAUACAACUUUUUAAAAUCGCUUUGUCUUGAAUUGUAAAUCAUCAUAAGAGUUAAAUGUAAAUACUUCAAGUCAUUAAGAAUGCGGAUACAGUCACUUCGAUGUAUUACAAUCUAUAUUUUUAUACACAAUGGAAGUCAUGUGACAAGUUAUAAUUAUUAGGUAUUUAAUUUAAUAUGUUAUCAACUAUGGCAUCUAUCCAAUUUUCUAUUUUCUUUCGUAUAUUAGCAAACCGGUUGGGGAAUAAAACUAGUUAAGAAAUACGUUGACAAAAGUUGGACUAUCACUUUUGAUUUUCAGAUAUACAUUAAGAACUAUAAAUAUUUAAUAUUUGAUACUAUUUUUUAAAACUGUACGUACGUUGUGUAUAUAAAAAACUUCAUUCAGUGUCAUUUUUCUAAUACGCGACCAUUGUCGCUUCUAAUAAGUGUUGAGUAUAAUGAAUUGAAAAUCAAGGGGAUCGGAAUUUUCUGAAAAAAAAGAAUUUAUCAAAUGUCGAAAUUAUAUUUGUAUUUUUAGCAUGAAUUGUUAUUAAUGUCUUUAAAACUUCCGAAACUCAGUGGCAGCAAUUGUUUAACCACAAACCAUGGCUAGAAGGCAGCAUUAACCAAAACAGUGUUUAUAAAACGAAAAUUGAGAAAUAAUUUUUAUCUUAAAAUUACACCUCCCUCCCAUAUCAACAAUGUUUAUUAUGGGAGUCAUGGACGUUUUGUUUUGAUACUUUUAUUUGUCUAGUUUGUUUUUUCUUGCCAUUUUUAUUAUUAUUGUUCUCAUUAAAGUAUUUGUCUUUUGAUAAGUCUAUUCAAAUCCAUUGUCAUGAGUCUUUGAUGAAGUAUAGCUCAUUUGAACUAUUUUAUUUGGCGUAGUCUAAC